UGCCAGCCGCCGCGGUAAUACGGAGGGUGCAAGCGUUGUUCGGAAUUAUUGGGCGUAAAGCGUGUGUAGGGCGGUUCGUUAAGUCUGAUGUGAAAGCCCGGGGCUCAACCCCGGAAGUGCAUUGGAAACUGGCGAACUUGAGUACGGGAGAGGAAAGUGGAAUUCCGAGUGUAGGGGUGAAAUGCGUUGAUAUCAGGAGGAACACCGGCGGCGAAGGCGACAGUCUGGCCUGCUUCUGACGCUGAGGUGCGAAAGCCAGGGGAGCAAACGGGAUUAGAUA
Molecule: ribosomal RNA, 280 nt
Filed under: uncultured bacterium
Lineage: Bacteria
Description: partial 16S ribosomal RNA
Rfam family: Bacterial small subunit ribosomal RNA
Source: RNAcentral